This is a small nuclear RNA of Ailuropoda melanoleuca (giant panda), 101 nucleotides long. Lineage: Eukaryota; Metazoa; Chordata; Mammalia; Carnivora; Ursidae. The record is from Ensembl.
GGACUUCCACAGCACAUAUACCAAAAAUGGAAUCCUAUGGAGAAGAUAGCAUGGUCCCGCACAAAAAUGACAAGCGAAUUUGCGAAAAGUUCCACAUUUAA